This 150-nucleotide ribosomal RNA is filed under the name uncultured bacterium. RNAcentral's name for it is "partial 16S ribosomal RNA". It matches the Rfam family "Bacterial small subunit ribosomal RNA", at positions 96 to 477 of the family's 1533-position model. The record is from RNAcentral.
UGGCGGCCGCGGGAAUUCGAUUCAGUGAGGAAUAUUGGUCAAUGGGCGCAAGCCUGAACCAGCCAUCCCGCGUGCAGGAUGAAGGCCCUAUGGGUCGUAAACUGCUUUUAUACACCAAGAAAAAACACCACGUGUGGUGGACUGACGGUC